GAUGAACGCUGGCGGCGUGCCUAAUACAUGCAAGUCGAGCGAACAGACGAGGAGCUUGCUCCUCUGACGUUAGCGGCGGACGGGUGAGUAACACGUGGAUAACCUACCUAUAAGACUGGGAUAACUUCGGGAAACCGGAGCUAAUACCGGAUAAUAUAUUGAACCGCAUGGUUCAAUAGUGAAAGACGGUUUUGCUGUCACUUAUAGAUGGAUCCGCGCCGCAUUAGCUAGUUUGUAAGGUAACGGCUUACCAAGGCAACGAUGCGUAGCCGACCUGAGAGGGUGAUCGGCCACACUGGAACUGAGACACGGUCAAGACUCCUACGGGAGGCAGCAGUAGGGAAUCUUCCGCAAUGGGCGAAAGCCUGACGGAGCAACGCCGCGUGAGUGAUGAAGGUCUUCGGAUCGUAAAACUCUGUUAUUAGGGAAGAACAAAUGUGUAAGUAACUAUGCACGUCUUGACGGUACCUAAUCAGAAAGCCACGGCUAACUACGUG
RNAcentral lists this ribosomal RNA (497 nucleotides) under uncultured bacterium. RNAcentral's name for it is "partial 16S ribosomal RNA". It matches the Rfam family "Bacterial small subunit ribosomal RNA", at positions 28 to 507 of the family's 1533-position model. The record is from RNAcentral.